GUCAGGUGUAGCCGCAGCGAAAGCGAGUCUGAAGAGGGCGAGUUAGUUGCAGGACGUAGACCCGAAGCCAGGUGAGCUAUCCAUGGUCAGGUUGAAGCGUGGGUAAGACCACGUGGAGGACCGAACCCACUGAUGUUGAAAAAUCAGGGGAUGAACUGUGGAUAGGAGUGAAAGGCUAAUCAAACCUGGAGAUAGCUGGUUCUCCCCGGAAUAUAUUGAGGUAUAGCCUCGUGAGAUUCGCGUCGGAGGUAGAGCACUGGAUGGGCUAGGGGUCCCACAGGAUUACCAAACCCAACCAAACUCCGAAUGCCGGCGACGUCAUCACGGGAGUCAGACUGCGGGAGAUAAGUUCCGUGGUCGAGAGGGAAAGAGCCCAGACUACCAGCUAAGGCCCCUAAGUGCGUGCUUAGUGGAAAAGGAUGUGGGGACACAUAGACAACCAGGAGGUUGGCUUAGAAGCAGCCAUCCUUGAAAGAAAGCGUAAUAGCUCACUGGUCAAGUGGCCCUGCGCCGAAAAUUCAACGGGGCUCAAGCACGCCGCCGAAGCUGUAGGUUCUCGAGAGAGAGCGGUAGGGGAGCGUUCCAGUCGCGGCGAAGGGGUUCCGGAAGGAUACCUGGAGUGACUGGAAGUGAGAAUGCCGACAUGAGUAACGAUAAACCGGGUGAAAAACCUGGUCGCCGUAAACCCAAGGUUUCCUGCGCAAGGGUAAUCCGAGCAGGGUUAGCCGGUCCUAAGCCGAGGCCGAGAGGCGUAGGCGAUGGAGAACGGGUUAAUAUUCCCGUGCUACCCGUUGGAGUGGAGGGGGGACGGAGAAGGAUAGACCGGCCAGCGGUUGGAAGAGCUGGUGCAAGCCUGUAGGUGGUCGUCGUAGGAAGAAAACGCGACGGCAACGCCGAGAGGUGAUGGCGAGACGGGCCUUCGGGGCUGUCGAGCGGUUGAUUCCAUGCUUCCAGGAAAAGCCUCGGUCCACAGUGAAGACGUGGUAACCGUACCGUAAACCGACUCAGGUGGGUGGGGAGAAGAUCCCAAGGCGCUUGAGAGAACUCUGGUUAAGGAAUUAGGCAAAAUGGCACCGUAACUUCGGGAGAAGGUGCACCUUGGUUUGUGUAGCGGCUUGCCCGUGAAGCGGACCGAGGGCUCAGUAAAAUGGCGGUAGCGACUGUUUACUAAAAACACAGGACUCUGCAAAGUCGUAAGACGAUGUAUAGGGUCUGACGCCUGCCCGGUGCUGGAAGGUCAAGGGGAGCUGUCAGGGCAACCGAAGCAGCGAACUGAAGCCCCAGUAAACGGCGGCCGUAACUAUAACGGUCCUAAGGUAGCGAAAUUCCUUGUCGGGUAAGUUCCGACCUGCACGAAUGGCGUAACGACUUCCGCGCUGUCUCGACCUGGGACUCGGCGAAAUCGACAUGGGGGUGAAGAUGCCCUCUACCCGCGGCAAGACGGAAAGACCCUGUGAACCUUUACUGUAGCUUGGCAGUGGCAUUCGGUUCAUUCUGUGUAGGAUAGGUGGGAGCCAUUGAACCCGGCACGCUAGUGUUGGGGGAGGCACCGUUGAAAUACCACCCUGGAUGUGCUGGAUGCCUAACCCCUUCGGGGGGACACUGCCUGGUGGGCAGUUUGACUGGGGCGGUCGCCUCCCAAAGAGUAACGGAGGCGCGCAAAGGUUCUCUCAGCCAGAUCGGAAACCUGGCGUAGAGUGUAAUCGCACAAGAGAGCUUGACUGCAAGACCGACAGGUCAAGCAGGUGGGAAACCAGGCGAUAGUGAUCCGGUGGUUCCACGUGGACGGGCCAUCGCUCAACGGAUAAAAGGUACGCCGGGGAUAACAGGCUUAUCUCCCCCAAGAGUUCACAUCGACGGGGAGGUUUGGCACCUCGAUGUCGGCUCGUCACAUCCUGGGGGGGUAGCACCUCCCAAGGGUUCGGCUGUUCGCCGAUUAAAGUGGCACGCGAGCUGGGUUUAGAACGUCGUGAGACAGUUCGGUCCCUAUCCGCCGUGGGCGUAGGAAGUUUGAGAGGCUCUGUCCCUAGUACGAGAGGACCGGGAUGGACGAACCGCUGGUGAACCAGUUGUUCCGCCAGGAGCACAGCUGGGUAGCUAAGUUCGGAUCGGAUAACCGCUGAAAGCAUCUAAGUGGGAAGCCGACCUCAAGAUGAGACUUCCCUGGGACUUCGGUCCCCUGAAGGGCACUUCGAGACGAGGAGUUCGAUAGGCUGGAGGUGGAAGCGUGGCAACACGUGGAGCUGACCAGUACUAAUCGCCCGUGAGGCUUGACCAC
This 2278-nucleotide ribosomal RNA is filed under the name Myxococcales bacterium. RNAcentral describes it as "partial 23S ribosomal RNA". It matches the Rfam family "Bacterial large subunit ribosomal RNA", at positions 655 to 2925 of the family's 2925-position model. Lineage: Bacteria; Pseudomonadati; Myxococcota; Myxococcia; Myxococcales. The record is from RNAcentral.